This 58-nucleotide transfer RNA is filed under the name Meoticina gen. sp. 1 ZMUN 10029210. Its description in RNAcentral is "partial tRNA-Leu". The record is from RNAcentral. Lineage: Eukaryota; Metazoa; Arthropoda; Insecta; Coleoptera; Staphylinidae.
UAAUCUAAUAUGGCAGAUUAGUGCAAUGGACUUAAAUCCCAUUUAUAAAGGCCCCCCC